GUUUGACCUGCUUCGGAGAAAAGUGCUGGAAUGGCAAUGUGAGGAGGACAGGAUGCCUGGAGAACCCGUGUUUGUGAAGGACCCCAACGGCACAAGCGAGGAUGAUGGUGUGAUUCUAUGUCCAGUUCUGGCCCUCACUACGGCCAAGCCGUCCUACCUGGUGGUGCUAGAUGCUUCCAACUUUACAGAGCUCGGACGAGCCACUGUCCCUGCCAACAUCAAGAUGAACAUCACGUUCCACGGCCAGUUCUGCAAAAGACAGUCUUAGAACACCUCAGAGUUUAAACUACAUUUUAGAAGAUUUUAAAAAAAAUGAUGAACUCUUACUACUCCUUCUUCCCAUCCCCCUCUCUUCCAAGCCAACUCUUGCGUCAAUUAUGCCAUACCACAGACAGUAUCUUGACAGGAUAAUGAAUAAAAAUGUCAAAAUAAUCCGCAAA
This is a long non-coding RNA of Aplysia californica (California sea hare), 440 nucleotides long. RefSeq lists it as uncharacterized. The transcript has 2 exons. The record is from RefSeq and is a predicted model, not a curated record. Lineage: Eukaryota; Metazoa; Mollusca; Gastropoda; Aplysiida; Aplysiidae.